AGUAUAUGUUGUGAGCGUGCUUCAGAUCUCCGGAGAUAGCACAGUACGCUGUGUCCAGCCCAGAGGUGAAAGCCAUCCAAAGCAGAGUAACUGUGCUUUGCGUCCAAGUUGAUACCUGUGGAGAGGAAAGGAAAGAGAGAUUGAUACCUGUGGAGAGAAAAGGAGAGAGAGUGGGUAACACGAGGAGAGAUCGAGGAAACCUGUACUUACGCCGCUGCCUGUGGAGAGAAAAGGAAAGAGAGAGUGAGUAACACAAGGAGAAACAGAGGAAACCUGUACUUACAGUACGCUGUGUCCAGCCCAGAGCGAAGAGGUGAGAGCAAAACCAAGCCGAAUUAACUGUGCCUUUGUGUCCCAGCCGUUGCCUGUGGAGGAAGAGAAAGAGACCGUUGCCUGUGGAGGAAGAGAAAGAGAGUGAGCACCCCGAGAACGAACUGUGUGAACCAGUACUUACCGUGAGCUGUAUUCAGCGAAGAGGAGG
This is a long non-coding RNA of Cyprinus carpio carpio, 481 nucleotides long. Lineage: Eukaryota; Metazoa; Chordata; Actinopteri; Cypriniformes; Cyprinidae. The record is from Ensembl.